GACGAACGCUGGCGGCGUGCUUAACACAUGCAAGUCGAGCGGUAAGGCCCUUUCGGGGGUACACGAGCGGCGAACGGGUGAGUAACACGUGGGUGACCUGCCCUCAGCUCUGGGAUAAGCCUGGGAAACCGGGUCUAAUACUGGAUAUGACUCCAUGACGCAUGUUGUGGGGUGGAAAGCCUUGUGCGGCUGAGGAUGGGCCCGCGGCCUAUCAGCUUGUUGGUGGGGUGANGGCCUACCAAGGCGACGACGGGUAGCCGGCCUGAGAGGGCGACCGGCCACACUGGGACUGAGACACGGCCCAGACUCCUACGGGAGGCAGCAGUGGGGAAUCUUGCGCAACGGGCGAAAAGCCUGACGCAGCGACGCCGCGCGAGGGAUGACGGCCU
RNAcentral lists this ribosomal RNA (389 nucleotides) under uncultured bacterium. RNAcentral describes it as "bacterial SSU rRNA". It matches the Rfam family "Bacterial small subunit ribosomal RNA", at positions 28 to 417 of the family's 1533-position model. The record is from RNAcentral.